Prosopis cineraria is the source of this 1183-nucleotide long non-coding RNA. RefSeq lists it as uncharacterized. The record is from RefSeq and is a predicted model, not a curated record. NCBI's taxonomy places the organism in Eukaryota, Viridiplantae, Streptophyta, Magnoliopsida, Fabales, Fabaceae. The transcript is spliced from 4 exons.
UCUUCCGCACUAUGUUGAAUGUAGUUUCACUUUACAUGAUUUUGAUUUUGAGUGAUUCUGCUUAGGUUGGUCAACUGGCGGCGAGGGCCUUCUAUGAUUAGUUGAUAACCUAACAAGUGAGGGAGAUAACCGAGCCAAAAUGCGUCGAAGUAACGAUAUUUUCGCUUGUGAAGACCAGCUUUCGGUCCCUUUGUUGAAAGUAUCACAGCAGAAAGCGAGAUUUGUAAUUAUUAAACAAACUAAACAGGUAAGAAUGAAAGAUUUUGUGAAUUUGAUGGGAAGAAAAGCCCUAGAAACAUAAAAAUUCGUCAUGGAAGCCGGUAAUGAGAGCCUCGCCAGUUGAUUGACAAAGGACAUCAAAUUACACACAAGACAGAUCUAUUGAUCAAGCUCCUGAGAGUGAGAGGAAGCACAAUAAUAACUUCUCCGAAGUCGAACAAGUUGCAGGGUGAAGUAUCAAGUCUUUACAUACAACAAGAGAUUCCAAAACGUGUAGUGCUGCUGUAGCUGCUACCACUAGUGGUCAACAGGCAGCCAAAGAGGGAUAAGAGAACGUAAGGUGCUCAAAGAAGAAGGUCAAGCAGCACAGGGAUUCUUACUGUUAUCUAGAUUAUGAACAGCUAGGUUACAUCACAAGUCCACCGGGGCCCUCCAUGAAUUUGCCAGAGUGCUCAAGCUUGAGAUCUCAGCCUUGGUUCUGUGUGUUCCUGGUAAUGCCCAUGUGAACUUUAAACUGGUUUUUGCUGAUUUAAGUUUGUCAACACACAAAUUCUAACUGAUUCUAUAACACCAUCCGUAGCCACUGUUGUCCAUGACAAUUAAUUGCAGGUGGUGACCUGACUGCUUUAGUUGUAUCUGAUUCAAACAUGAAACAGGAUCUAGUAAUGCGUUCAUACUAUCAAGCGCAGCACUACAUUUUAAAUACUACUGUAAAACAUCUCACAUCCUGUUGUUUCACCUUAUCUAUAUCAUGUGGCUCGUGAAAGAUUAUACCUAGGCCCAUGUGGAAUGAAAAAUAUUACAUUUGUACCACAGGAAUUUGUGGUUUGAGUUGUUGAAAACUUGUAGCCAAUCAACCAGGGGAAAAGUAAGACUCUUGGAAAGGUCAUGCUGCACCAUGCAUGAGAAUGUUUUGGUGUGAUUUGAAUGAUUAUGUUUGUACCUCUGGUUUUUGUGGGAUAAA